UACGGAGGGAGCUAGCGUUGUUCGGAAUUACUGGGCGUAAAGCGCGCGUAGGCGGCUUUGUAAGUUAGAGGUGAAAGCCCGGGGCUCAACCCCGGAACUGCCUUUAAGACUGCAUCGCUUGAAUCCGGGAGAGGUGAGUGGAAUUCCGAGUGUAGAGGUGAAAUUCGUAGAUAUUCGCAAGAACACCAGUGGCGAAGGCGGCUCACUGGCCCGGUACUGACGCUGAGGUGCGAAAGCGUGGGGAGCAAACAGG
RNAcentral lists this ribosomal RNA (253 nucleotides) under uncultured bacterium. RNAcentral's name for it is "partial 16S ribosomal RNA". It matches the Rfam family "Bacterial small subunit ribosomal RNA", at positions 524 to 776 of the family's 1533-position model. The record is from RNAcentral.